This is a long non-coding RNA of Camelus dromedarius (Arabian camel), 370 nucleotides long. RefSeq lists it as uncharacterized. Lineage: Eukaryota; Metazoa; Chordata; Mammalia; Artiodactyla; Camelidae. The transcript has 2 exons. The record is from RefSeq and is a predicted model, not a curated record.
CGGGGGAAUCGCGCUGCUGGGGUAAAAGCUGGAGCGAGGCGAAAGCGUGUAACAAUUGCACUCGCGCACACACACACACACACCACUCACACGCACUCGCCGCCCGCCCGCUCGCACAGCGCUGAAACACGCGCGCCCAGACACGCACACACGCACGCACACACACUCGCACACACGCAGAGGCACGGGGGGGAAAAGAAGCCGAUGAAUAAUUUUGCUGCUAUUUUUUUAAAUACUGGCCGCCAUCAUCAAGCAGCGAGCAGCAGCAGCAGCGUUGAAGGGAGAGGAGGCAUCGGGACAGGCCCCUCUUAGGAGAGGAUUUAUAUCUAGUUGGAAAAAAAAAAAAAAAAAAAAAAAAAGAAAAGAAAAA